RNAcentral lists this ribosomal RNA (430 nucleotides) under Pseudomonadota bacterium. RNAcentral's name for it is "Proteobacteria bacterium partial 16S ribosomal RNA". It matches the Rfam family "Bacterial small subunit ribosomal RNA", at positions 355 to 776 of the family's 1533-position model. The record is from RNAcentral. Lineage: Bacteria; Pseudomonadati; Pseudomonadota.
UGGGGAAUAUUGGACAAUGGGGGGAACCCUGAUCCAGCCAUGCCGCGUGUGUGAAGAAGGCCUUAUGGUUGUAAAGCACUUUAAGCGAGGAGGAGGGUACUGGUAUUAAUACUACCAGGUACUGGACAUUACUCGCAGAAUAAGCACCGGCUAACUCUGUGCCAGCAGCCGCGGUAAUACAGAGGGUGCGAGCGUUAAUCGGAUUUACUGGGCGUAAAGCGCGCGUAGGUGGUUCGUUAAGUUGAAUGUGAAAGCCCCGGGCUCAACCUGGGAACUGCAUCCAAAACUGGCGAGCUAGAGUAGGGCAGAGGGUGGUGGAAUUUCCUGUGUAGCGGUGAAAUGCGUAGAUAUAGGAAGGAACACCAGUGGCGAAGGCGACCACCUGGGCUCAUACUGACACUGAGGUGCGAAAGCGUGGGGAGCAAACAGG